GACGGAGGAUGCAAGCGUUAUCCGGAAUGAUUGGGCGUAAAGCGUCCGCAGGUGGCUGUGUAAGUCUGCUGUUAAAGAGUCUAGCUCAACUAGAUAAGAGCAGUGGAAACUACACGGCUAGAGUACGUUCGGGGCAGAGGGAAUUCCUGGUGUAGCGGUGAAAUGCGUAGAGAUCAGGAAGAACACCGGUGGCGAAGGCGCUCUGCUAGGCCGUAACUGACACUGAGGGACGAAAGCUAGGGGAGCGAAUGGG
Molecule: ribosomal RNA, 253 nt
Filed under: uncultured bacterium
Lineage: Bacteria
Description: partial 16S ribosomal RNA
Rfam family: Bacterial small subunit ribosomal RNA
Source: RNAcentral